RNAcentral lists this ribosomal RNA (385 nucleotides) under uncultured bacterium. RNAcentral describes it as "bacterial SSU rRNA". It matches the Rfam family "Bacterial small subunit ribosomal RNA", at positions 28 to 412 of the family's 1533-position model. The record is from RNAcentral.
GACGAACGCUGGCGGCGUGCUUAACACAUGCAAGUCGAGCGGUUAGGCCCUUUCGGGGGUACGACGAGCGGCGAACGGGUGAGUAACACGUGGGUGACCUGCCUUUAGCUCUGGGAUAAGCCUGGGAAACUGGGUCUAAUACCGGAUAUGACUCCAUGAUGCAUGUUGUGGGGUGGAAAGCCUUGUGCGGCUGGAGAUGGGCCCGCGGCCUAUCAGCUUGUUGGUGGGGUGAUGGCCUACCAAGGCGACGACGGGUAGCCGGCCUGAGAGGGCGACCGGCCACACUGGGACUGAGACACGGGCCCAGACUCCUACGGGAGGCAGCAGUGGGGAAUCUUGCGCAAUGGGCGAAAGCCUGACGCAGCGACGCCGCGUGAGGGAUGAC